UACGAAGGGGGCUAGCGUUGCUCGGAAUUACUGGGCGUAAAGCGCACGUAGGCGGUCUUUUAAGUCGGGGGUGAAAUCCUGGAGCUCAACUCCAGAACUGCCUUCGAUACUGGAAGACUUGAGUCCGGGAGAGGUGAGUGGAACUGCGAGUGUAGAGGUGAAAUUCGUAGAUAUUCGCAAGAACACCAGUGGCGAAGGCGGCUCACUGGCCCGGUACUGACGCUGAGGCGCGAAAGCGUGGGGAGCAAACGGG
This 253-nucleotide ribosomal RNA is filed under the name uncultured bacterium. RNAcentral describes it as "partial 16S ribosomal RNA". It matches the Rfam family "Bacterial small subunit ribosomal RNA", at positions 524 to 776 of the family's 1533-position model. The record is from RNAcentral.